RNAcentral lists this microRNA (20 nucleotides) under Ananas comosus (pineapple). Its description in RNAcentral is "miR157d". The record is from RNAcentral. Lineage: Eukaryota; Viridiplantae; Streptophyta; Magnoliopsida; Poales; Bromeliaceae.
UGACAGAAGAUAGUGAGCAC